UUAACAAGGCGUGUGUGUGUAUAUCUAACGUAUGUGUGUCAUAAUGUGUACACAUCCUGUUGUGCACUGCAGACUGAUUCUGAUCAUGUCAAUCAAACACACAUACACAGACAGAGCACCUGUAAUCUAGCAGGCAUAUUGAUAGUGUUUGGAAAAUGUUGAAUGCACAAAUCACAUGUUGUUAUGGAGGUGUGCAUGGUACCGAUGUAGCAACAUGAAAUCAGGUGGAAAGAUCUAACAAAAAGUGUGUGUGGUAUGUGUGUGUCUGUUUGUUAAGAGGCGAGAAGGGAGAGAGACAGGGGUGUGUGAAGGGAAGAGAGAAAGAGACAGAGAGAAGAGUUGUGUGGCUAUACUUUAGGAUAAUACAUUUUGUUUGUGAUCGUAUAGGAGGACAAACACACUUGGACGUGGACAAACGCUGCUUUUUUUAACGCAACUGUUUUGCGUGAGGACCCAGUGGACCGCACACAGACUGCUCUCCAGAGUCAAGGUGGACGACUCCGUGAGAAGGAACAUCCGCCCUCCACACGUCCUGAGCACGAUGAUGAAAUUCUAGCCGCCUUCAGAGGUGCUGCCCCUCAGCCGACCCUGAUCUCUGACCCCUGUAGACUAGAAGAGAGAAAAGCGAUAUUUCCUGUUAAGGAUUAAUAAAUAAGUAUGAUUACUGAUAACGACUGUUAAACAUAUGAUAUUACAAACUGCAUCCAUCUAUAUAUACUGUAAAUAUAUAGUCUGUGAUUUAAAAUAAAUAUAUGUUGUGUUUUUUUUUUGCCAAACAUGUUGUUUGCGACUACAUUUAAUGAAUAAAUUACACACAGCCCGUAAUAAAACUGAUAAAGCUUCUUUGAUUAACAACAAAACAUCUUUAAAUUAUGAAUAACAUAUUAUCUAAAUUUACUUUCUAAUUCAUUUAUAUUGACUCGCUGCAAAAUAUUUUGUAAUAACAGACUUUUAGGUGGAUUUUUUAUUAUGAUAUUCAUCGACAGAAUCAGGUUGGUUCAGGCAGUGGCCUAUACCUCUCUGAUAUUUUACAGUCCACAGUCAGCAAGGCCUCAAAAUUCACUUCUGUAAAAUAACUACAGUCCAAACAGACAAAAAACUCACCGUCUAGAUUCUCACACGUAUGUUCAUAUCACCAAGGCUUUUGUUCUUUAUAUCUUUUCCUUGUUGUGCACUUUGAUUAUAAUGUAGUCAUAGACAUCCGUAUCCGCCCUGUCAUGUCACCUCGAAUAUGUCGCAGUCUGUGUCCUGUCUUGUCUCACCUAUUUUGUGUCUCCUCGCUUAAUAAAAAACCAUGAUUCAAUCAGA
Molecule: long non-coding RNA, 1308 nt
Organism: Hippoglossus stenolepis (Pacific halibut)
Lineage: Eukaryota; Metazoa; Chordata; Actinopteri; Pleuronectiformes; Pleuronectidae
Exons: 2
Source: RefSeq, a predicted model, not a curated record